UAACACGAACCCGACAAACGUUAUUCGGAAUUAUUGGGCUUAAAGGGUGCGUAGGCGGUGCGGUAAGUGAGGUGUGAAAGCCCUCGGCUCAACCGAGGAAUUGCGCUUCAUACUGCCGUGCUGGAGGGAGACAGGGGUAAGCGGAACUGAUGGUGGAGCGGUGAAAUGCGUUGAUAUCAUCAGGAACACCGGUGGCGAAAGCGGCUUACUGGGUCUUCUCUGACGCUGAGGCACGAAAGCUAGGGUAGCGAACGGGAUUAGAUACCCCGGUAGUCCUAGCCGUAAACGAUGAGCACUUGACUGAGGAUCCCCCCAUAGGUUCUCGGUCGCAGCGAAAGUGUUAAGUGCUCCGCCUGGGGAGUAUGGUCGCAAGGCUG
Molecule: ribosomal RNA, 377 nt
Filed under: uncultured bacterium
Lineage: Bacteria
Description: bacterial SSU rRNA
Rfam family: Bacterial small subunit ribosomal RNA
Source: RNAcentral